GACGAACGCUGGCGGCGUGCUUAACACAUGCAAGUCGAACGGAAAGGCCCUGUUCUUGUGGGGUGCUCGUGUGGCGCACGGGUGAGUAACACGUGAGUAACCUGCCCCUGACUUUGGGAUAACUCAAGGAAAAACGAGUUAUUACCGGACAGGAGCUCCUGCUGCAUGGUGGGGGGUGGAAAGUUGCGGUGGUUGGGGAUGGACGCGCGGUUCAUCAGCGUGUUGGUGGGGUAGUGGGUUACCAAGGCUCUGACGGGUAGCCGGCCUGAGAGGGUGACCGGCCACAAUGUGACUGGGAAACGACCCAUAGUCAUACGGGGGGCAGCGGUGAAAGAUAGUGCACAAUGGGCGGCAUGCUGGUGCAGCAUCGCCGCGUGCGGAAUGACUGCCUUCAGGUUGGAACCCGCUUUCGCCUGUGACGAAGCGUGAGUGACGGUAAUUGGUAAAAAAGCAACGGCUAACUACGUG
Molecule: ribosomal RNA, 468 nt
Filed under: uncultured bacterium
Lineage: Bacteria
Description: partial 16S ribosomal RNA
Rfam family: Bacterial small subunit ribosomal RNA
Source: RNAcentral